CAGGCCUAACACAUGCAAGUUCGCACGGUCAGCAAUGGCAGUGGCGGACGGGUGAGUAACACGUAGGAAUCUAUCCUGAGGUGGGGGACAACAGCGGGAAACUGCUGCUAAUACCGCAUGAUACCUGAGGGUCAAAGGCGCAAGUCGCCUUAGGAGGAGCCUGCGUCUGAUUAGCUUGUUGGUGGGGUAAAGGCCUACCAAGGCGACGAUCAGUAGCUGGUCUGAGAGGAUGAUCAGCCACAUUGGGACUGAGACACGGCCCAAACUCCUACGGGAGGCAGCAGUGGGGAAUAUUGGACAAUGGGGGAAACCCUGAUCCAGCAAUGCCGCGUGUGUGAAGAAGGUCUUCGGAUUGUAAAGCACUUUUGGCAGGGACGAUGAUGACGGUACCUGCAGAAUAAGCCCCGGCUAACUUCGUGCCAGCAGCCGCGGUAAUACGAAGGGGGCUAGCGUUGCUCGGAAUGACUGGGCGUAAAGGGCGCGUAGGCGGCGCGUACAGUCAGAAGUGAAAUUCCUGGGCUCAACCUGGGGACCGCUUUUGAUACGUGCGUGCUUGAGUGAGGAAGAGGGUUGUGGAAUUUCCAGUGUAGAGGUGAAAUUCGUAGAUAUUGGAAAGAACACCGGUGGCGAAGGCGGCAACCUGGUCCUUUACUGACGCUGAGGCGCGAAAGCGUGGGGAGCAAACAGGAUUAGAUACCCUGGUAGUCCACGCUGUAAACGAUGUGUGCUGGAUGUUGGGAAACUUAGUUUUUCAGUGUCGUAGCUAACGCGAUAAGCACACCGCCUGGGGGAGUACGGGCCGGCAAGGUUGAAAACUCAAAAGGAAUUGGACGGGGGGCCCCGCACAAAGCCGGGGGAGCAAUGUGGGUUUAAAUUCGAAAGCAACCCCGCAGAAACCUUACCCAGGAAUUUGGACAUGGGGGAAGGAACCCGGUUACAGAAGAUGGUACUUUUUCCCGGCAAGGGGACCUUUCCCGCACAAGG
This 984-nucleotide ribosomal RNA is filed under the name uncultured Acidocella sp. Its description in RNAcentral is "bacterial SSU rRNA". It matches the Rfam family "Bacterial small subunit ribosomal RNA", at positions 43 to 1039 of the family's 1533-position model. The record is from RNAcentral. Lineage: Bacteria; Pseudomonadati; Pseudomonadota; Alphaproteobacteria; Acetobacterales; Acidocellaceae.